GUGGGGAAUAUUGCGCAAUGGGGGAAACCCUGACGCAGCAACGCCGCGUGUGUGAUGAAGGCCUUCGGGUCGUAAAGCACUGUGAGGUGGAACGAGCCGCCGGGGGCUAAUACCCUUCGGCCCGACGGUACCACCAGAGGAAGCACCGGCUAACCCUGUGCCAGCAGCCGCGGUAAUACAGGGGGUGCAAGCGUUGUUCGGAAUUAUUGGGCGUAAAGCGCGUGUAGGCGGACCAUUAAGUCUGGUGUGAAAUCCCUCGGCUUAACCGAGGACGUGCAUUGGAUACUGGUGGUCUUGAGUCCUGGAGAGGGUAGCGGAAUUCCCAGUGUAGAGGUGAAAUUCGUAGAUAUUGGGAGGAACACCGGUGGCGAAGGCGGCUACCUGGACAGUGACUGACGCUGAGACGCGAAAGCAUGGGUAGCAAACAGGAUUAGAAACCCUAGUAGUCC
This 449-nucleotide ribosomal RNA is filed under the name uncultured bacterium. RNAcentral's name for it is "bacterial SSU rRNA". It matches the Rfam family "Bacterial small subunit ribosomal RNA", at positions 354 to 796 of the family's 1533-position model. The record is from RNAcentral.